RNAcentral lists this ribosomal RNA (492 nucleotides) under uncultured bacterium. RNAcentral describes it as "partial 16S ribosomal RNA". It matches the Rfam family "Bacterial small subunit ribosomal RNA", at positions 29 to 507 of the family's 1533-position model. The record is from RNAcentral.
AGUGAACGCUGGCGGUAGGCCUAACACAUGCAAGUCGAACGGCAGCACAGUAAGAGCUUGCUCUUACGGGUGGCGAGUGGCGGACGGGUGAGGAAUACAUCGGAAUCUACUUUUUCGUGGGGGAUAACGGAGGGAAACUUACGCUAAUACCGCAUACGACCUACGGGUGAAAGCAGGGGAUCUUCGGACCUUGCGCGAUUGAAUGAGCCGAUGUCGGAUUAGCUAGUUGGCGGGGUAAAGGCCCACCAAGGCGACGAUCCGUAGCUGGUCUGAGAGGAUGAUCAGCCACACUGGAACUGAGACACGGUCCAGACUCCUACGGGAGGCAGCAGUGGGGAAUAUUGGACAAUGGGCGAAAGCCUGAUCCAGCCAUACCGCGUGGGUGAAGAAGGCCUUCGGGUUGUAAAGCCCUUUUGUUGGGAAAGAAAAGCAGCAGGUUAAUACCCCGCUGUUCUGACGGUACCCAAAGAAUAAGCACCGGCUAACUUCGUG